Molecule: long non-coding RNA, 1491 nt
Organism: Ochotona curzoniae (black-lipped pika)
Lineage: Eukaryota; Metazoa; Chordata; Mammalia; Lagomorpha; Ochotonidae
Exons: 3
Source: RefSeq, a predicted model, not a curated record
AAAUGUAAUCUUUAGGCUUUGAAAUCUCUCCUUCCCCCGGUUGCCCUCGGCUCUGGUAUGGAGCGACCGGGUCCGAGUCUUCCCGCUGCCCUUCCUCCCUGCCACCUUCUGUCCUGUGUGGUCUUACUGGAAGUUCCUCUGAGGGGAUCAGGGCCGAGGCGUAAAGCUCCCGGGGUACGGGCAGGGCUGUGUGCCCUGCUCCCACACACGUGGGCCUCAUCCUAGCUUCCUGGGGUUCUUGUUCCGGGGAUCCCUUCUUCUUCAUCAUCACAGAGUGCUCUCCGUGAGUGGGCUGGAAGGUUAGGCCCAUUUACUAAAAGAUCUUUCAUGAGAUAGAAGAGACUUGCCCCCACAUCAGUGUUACCGGCUAAAGAGAGAGCUGUCACAGACACUUAAGAAAUGAAUUAAACAUGUUGGUAGGGCCGCUAGAAACCUAUUCCCCGUACUUUUCCUUUAGAAUCUCCCUGUUUCUACUCUGCAUCACCAUGGAGCCUGCGCAGCUGAGUUCUGACUGUCACAGAAGGCAGGCAACAGCCUUGAUGGACAACAAACUUCCGUAGUGCCCGAAGGGUGUUGUAUCAGCAAGAAGCUGGACUGGGGAACGCAGCUGGAAGUCAAAGCCCGAUCCUGUAAUAUGGGCUGUGGGUGUCCCAAGUGGCCUGCUGCUCUCCCCUCGCUCUUCCGCCCAGCUCUCAUCUAUGAAGCACUUAUUAGCUAUAUUCAAGAGAACUCACUUUAUUCAGAGUCGGCCAAAUGAAUAAAUCUUCAAGGGGAAAGCUUUGAAAGCUUGGCGGCACCAUGAAACAUCACACAUGGCGUCUGACUCAGGGAAAUGCAAAUAUCCGCAAAAUCGGAGAAAGCGUGGAGAUACAGAUCUUCUGUCUGGGUCCAGUGGACUAGAGGCUCGGUUUCCGUAUCUCUCACCCCAUCUCUGCAAUCUUCUGUGACAUCACAGACAAUAGGAAAUGGCCACAGUAAGGCUAGGUCCUCUGAAAAACUCUGGAACAUGUCCGUAACGUGACCUUUGCCAUGAUCUUGGGUUCUUGGAAAGUCCCAGAAGAGGAGAGAGAGGGCUUCUCUGGUUCCAGGAUGAGAUCUUUCCUUUUACAGCUCCAGCGGUAAGCAGUGAGCUGACUGACCCACAUUGUUUUCUUUAAACAAAGUAGAAGGAUCUGUUCGCUUGGUUCCACUAUUCUUAAUGCGGGGAUAUGGCUCUUACUUGGUGGCUGCCAAGUGGGAUGCAGCUCUUACUGACUGGAUAGGUUAGAGUGCAUGAUGUUUGCACUGACUGGGGAGUCAUGAUCCUACCAUAUACCAUAUGCUCUUAGUUGAUGGGAUGAUGGUUACUAAACACAGCCGCUCCCCGCUUCCACACGUUGUGGAAUGAGACAUUCCACUGGUUGGUGCCGGGACUCCUGAACUUCCACGAGUCUUCUUUCAGACUCAUUUAUUUUGUGGUGGGGGGGAUAGAUUUGGUUAAUUCACUUAUUG